Molecule: transfer RNA, 63 nt
Filed under: Elateridae sp. GENSP01
Lineage: Eukaryota; Metazoa; Arthropoda; Insecta; Coleoptera; Elateridae
Description: tRNA-Leu
Source: RNAcentral
GUUACUUUGGCAGAUUAGUGCAAUUGAUUUAGAAUCUUUAUAUGUAAGGUUUUACAGGUAAUA